UUUUCUAGGCCCUUUUUUGGAGCCUUUUCUGUUAGAGCACAAGUUUCUUAGUAGCCCAACAAUUUUUAUUCAUGCAUAAAUAUGUGUUAUCAAGGGACUGUUAUUUUGAACUUAAUAGAUAUUCAAUCUCUUCUUAAACAGUCCUACACAUUAUAAUAGGUGUCCUUACCUUCACCAACUUCCUUUGGGCGGUGGCUUUUUACAUGUACACGCAGAGGCUUCAAAGGAGUAAUGAGACACCUGAAAGUUCCAUCAUCAUAAAUUCACCUGAAACCACCAUAAUUGAAAGCCCUUGCCCACACAGAACACAUCUUUAGAAGUUCCGGACUGAUGAGAAAAUCUUUUCUAAAUUUGGCCAUCGCAGAAUCUGGGUACGAGGAUCUGCUCUAUACAGCUUGUUAACACUCCAGAUGAAGAAAAGGUGGUCUGUGAAUGACUCUGAGCUCGAAAGGAGGAUAAACUUGUGAAGAAUGUGAAGAAGAGUGAGACCGAACAAGCCGCAGCAUGCCUAUUCAUGUACCUGCUCUGCAGUCGCAAAUCAAGAAGGUUUUGUGGAUUACCCCAGCUCCACGUCCAAGCAAUAAACUGUCCACCUCAUGUAAAAUGUUUUACUGCUGUACUGGUUUUAAGUGACCAAGUUCUUGCCAGAAGAACUACACCGGGCUUGUUACAUUAGGAAUAUUGGUGCCGAUGAGGGAGUCUGCCGGCAUCUAAUCCAGCCCAGUCACAUGGUUUAUUAAUUAAACUCCCGGAGAGCAGCCAUUUGGCUUUUCUACCUUUAAAACCCAGAGAGCAGCCAAAUGGCUUUUAGCUAGGCUUU
Molecule: long non-coding RNA, 820 nt
Organism: Astatotilapia calliptera (eastern happy)
Lineage: Eukaryota; Metazoa; Chordata; Actinopteri; Cichliformes; Cichlidae
Source: Ensembl